CUCGUAGGUGGCCAACUAAGUCAAACGUGAAAUCCCUCGGCUUAACCGGGGAACUGCGUCUGAUACUGGAUGGCUAGAGAUUGGGAGAGGGAUGCGGAAUUCCAGGUGUAGCGGUGAAAUGCGUAGAUAUCUGGAGGAACACCGGUGGCGAAGGCGGCAUCCUGGACCAACACUGACGCUGAGGAGCGAAAGCCAGGGGAGCAAACGGGAUUAGAUACCCCGGUAGUCCUGGCCCUAAACGAUGAAUGCUUGGUGUGGCGGGUAUCGAUCCCUGCCGUGCCGAAGCUAACGCAUUAAGCAUUCCGCCGUGGGGAGUACGGUCGCAAGGCUGAA
RNAcentral lists this ribosomal RNA (333 nucleotides) under uncultured bacterium. RNAcentral describes it as "bacterial SSU rRNA". It matches the Rfam family "Bacterial small subunit ribosomal RNA", at positions 568 to 898 of the family's 1533-position model. The record is from RNAcentral.